Molecule: ribosomal RNA, 200 nt
Filed under: uncultured bacterium
Lineage: Bacteria
Description: partial 16S ribosomal RNA
Rfam family: Bacterial small subunit ribosomal RNA
Source: RNAcentral
UACGAAGGGGGCUAGCGUUACUCGGAAUUAUUGGGCGUAAAGCGUGCGCAGGCGGUUUAGCAAGUUAAAAGUGAAAUCCUGGGGCUCAACCCCAGAACUGCUUUUAAUACUGCUUAACUAGAGUAAAGGAGGGGGUGACGGAAUUCCUAGUGUAGAGGUGAAAUUCGUAGAUAUUAGGAGGAACACCGGUGGCGAAAGCA